Molecule: ribosomal RNA, 510 nt
Filed under: Triticum aestivum (bread wheat)
Lineage: Eukaryota; Viridiplantae; Streptophyta; Magnoliopsida; Poales; Poaceae
Description: partial small subunit ribosomal RNA
Source: RNAcentral
AUGGCCAAGGCGCGCAAGCCCACGGCGUUCUCCGCCGCCGAGCGCUUCCUCGGCUUCCACCACCGCCCCGGCUCCGCCACCGUCGCCCCGUCCCCCUACGACGACCUGCCGGACCUGGCCGAGUCGGACGUCUGGUAUUCGCCAUCGUCGGACGCGCCAACCACCACCGCGGAUCAGGACGGGGUUCAGCGCACCGACAGGGCGCCCAGGGGCGAGCCGCCGCGGCGCGUGGGCGGCCUGAGCCACGCGUUCGCGGACGGGCGGCAGGUGGCGUCGUCGGCGCCCGUCGAGGUGCCCGCGUGGCCGAGCCGGUUCGCCGACCUGGAGCCCGAGCCCGAGCCCGACGAGCAGCAGCAAGAGGACGCCGACGGCUGGGUGCCGCCGCACGUGUACCUGGCGCGGCGUCAGGCCAGGGCCUCGGUGGUCGAGGGCGUCGGACGCACCCUCAAGGGCCGGGACGCGUCGCGGGUGCGUGACGCCGUCUGGAGCCGAACCGGAUUCCCCGGAUGA